AUUGAACGCUGGCGGCAGGCCUAACACAUGCAAGUCGAGCGAGCGGCGGACGGGUGAGUAAUGUAUGGGGACUGCCCGAUAGAGGGGGAUAACUACUGGAAACGGUAGCUAAUACCGCAUACUAUCGGAUAACCCAUAUGGGAUUAGCUAGUUGGUGAGGUAAUGGCUCACCAAGGCGAAGAUCCCUAGCUGGUCUGAGAGGAUGAUGAGUCACACUGGGACUUAGACACGGCCCAGACUCCGACGGAGGCAGCAGUGGGGAAUAUUGCACAAUGGGCGCAAGCCUGAUGCAGCAAUGCCGCGGGUAUGAAGAAGGCCCUAGGGUUGUAAAGUACUUUCAGUCGGGAGGCGGUACCCGCAGAAGAAGCACCGGCUAACUCCGGGCCAGCCGCCGCGGUAAUAC
This 403-nucleotide ribosomal RNA is filed under the name uncultured bacterium. RNAcentral's name for it is "partial 16S ribosomal RNA". It matches the Rfam family "Bacterial small subunit ribosomal RNA", at positions 30 to 526 of the family's 1533-position model. The record is from RNAcentral.